ACUUCGGAAGGGGUGUAUUUAUUAGAUAAAAAACCAAUGCCCUCCGGGGCUCCUUGGUGAUUCAUAAUAACUCAACGAAUCGCAUGGCCUUGCGCCGGCGAUGGUUCAUUCAAAUUUCUGCCCUAUCAACUUUCGAUGGUAGGAUAGUGGCCUACCAUGGUAUCAACGGGUAACGGGGAAUUAGGGUUCGAUUCCGGAGAGGGAGCCUGAGAAACGGCUACCACAUCCAAGGAAGGCAGCAGGCGCGCAAAUUACCCAAUCCCAACACGGGGAGGUAGUGACAAUAAAUACUGAUCCAGGGCUCUUUUGGGUCUUGUAAUUGGAAUGAGUACAAUUUAAAUCCCUUAACGAGGAACAAUUGGAGGGCAAGUCUGGUGCCAGCAGCCGCGGUAAUUCCAGCUCCAAUAGCGUAUAUUAAAGUUGUUGCAGUUAAAAAGCUCGUAGUUGAAACUUGGGCCUGGCUGGCCGGUCCGCCUCACCGCGUGCACUGGUCCGGCCGGGCCUUUUCUCCUGGGGAGCCUCAUGCCCUUUACUGGGCGUGUUGGGGAACCAGGACUUUUACUUUGAAAAAAUUAGAGUGUUCAAAGCAG
Molecule: ribosomal RNA, 590 nt
Filed under: Swinscowia jamesii
Lineage: Eukaryota; Fungi; Ascomycota; Dothideomycetes; Strigulales; Strigulaceae
Description: SSU rRNA
Rfam family: Eukaryotic small subunit ribosomal RNA
Source: RNAcentral